Molecule: ribosomal RNA, 590 nt
Filed under: uncultured bacterium
Lineage: Bacteria
Description: bacterial SSU rRNA
Rfam family: Bacterial small subunit ribosomal RNA
Source: RNAcentral
CCUACGGGAGGCAGCAGUGGGGAAUAUUGGACAAUGGGCGAAAGCCUGAUCCAGCAAUGCCGCGUGAGUGAUGAAGGCCUUCGGGUCGUAAAGCUCUUUUACCAGGGAUGAUAAUGACAGUACCUGGAGAAUAAGCUCCGGCUAACUCCGUGCCAGCAGCCGCGGUAAUACGGAGGGAGCUAGCGUUGUUCGGAAUUACUGGGCGUAAAGAGUACGUAGGCGGUUAUUCAAGUCAGAGGUGAAAGCCCGGGGCUCAACCCCGGAACUGCCUUUGAAACUAGAUAACUAGAGUCUUGGAGAGGUUAGUGGAAUUCCGAGUGUAGAGGUGAAAUUCGUAGAUAUUCGGAAGAACACCAGUGGCGAAGGCGACUAACUGGACAAGUACUGACGCUGAGGUACGAAAGCGUGGGGAGCAAACAGGAUUAGAUACCCUGGUAGUCCACGCCGUAAACGAUGAUAACUAGUUGUUCGGUCACUUGGUGACUGAGUGACGCAGCUAACGCAUUAGUUAUCCGCCUGGGAGUACGGUCGCAAGNUUAAAACUUAAAGGAAAUUGACGGCUGAGAAGUGCGAGNGACACGAGGGAGAGG